This 253-nucleotide ribosomal RNA is filed under the name uncultured bacterium. Its description in RNAcentral is "partial 16S ribosomal RNA". It matches the Rfam family "Bacterial small subunit ribosomal RNA", at positions 524 to 776 of the family's 1533-position model. The record is from RNAcentral.
UACGGAGGGGGCUAGCGUUGUUCGGAAUUACUGGGCGUAAAGCGCACGUAGGCGGCUUUGUAAGUUAGAGGUGAAAGCCCGGGGCUCAACUCCGGAAUUGCCUUUAAGACUGCAUCGCUAGAAUUGUGGAGAGGUAAGUGGAAUUCCGAGUGUAGAGGUGAAAUUCGUAGAUAUUCGGAAGAACACCAGUGGCGAAGGCGGUUCACUGGACCGUUGUUGACGCUGAGGUGCGAAAGCGUGGGGAGCAAACAGG